Hemicordylus capensis (graceful crag lizard) is the source of this 1389-nucleotide long non-coding RNA. RefSeq lists it as uncharacterized. Lineage: Eukaryota; Metazoa; Chordata; Lepidosauria; Squamata; Cordylidae. The transcript has 3 exons. The record is from RefSeq and is a predicted model, not a curated record.
AUGUGCUCCCUAGUGAAAUAAGAGCCUCCCCAUCUCUGACAGCUUUUUAAAAGUCUUUAAAAACACAUUUCUUCACCCAGGCUUUUAAUUAAUGUUGUUUUAAUGGUUUUAAUGCAGUUUUAAAAUAUUAUUUUAACAUUUUAAAAUUGUUAUAAGGUGCGUGUCCCCUCUCACCCCCAUUUUUGUCUUGAUGAAUGUUUUGCUUUGUUUUUAUUCUGUUGUAAACCACCCAGAGAGAGAGAGAGAGAGAGAGAGAGAGAUGCUUUUGGUCCAACUUUCAUGAAAUUAUUCAAAAUCAAACUUACAAGCAUGAAUAACAAAUGAACUACAAUCUAGACAGAGCCGCACUGGAUUUGUCUGAUUUCAGACUGAUGGAGGAAAAGGGGUUCAACAAUAAUGACCAGGACGUACGUGGUACAUCUCGUGGUACAUGGCACAUCUCGUGUGAGCUCUGACAACAGACACGGAGGAGGGCUGAGCAGCGGACAGCUACUGCUGAGGCGACAACGGCGAGGAGAGAAAAGGCACAGAGGAGGGCUGAGCGGUGGACCCAAGGGCAGCUGCUGCUGCACUCGAAACUGAGGGCAGUGGGGGGCGGGCUGUGGUCACUGCUUCCUCCCCUCCCUCUGGCUGCCUCGCCAUUGGAGCCAAGGAGUGCUUCAUCCAGCCCGCCAGGAAGUGCUCCAGGAAGAGCAGUGGUAUUGCAACGGCAGCAGCCUAGCCCAGCUCCAACUGCUGGCCUCCGUUGCAUUGCACCACCAAAUCUCCUCACAAGGAGGAUAGCCAAGCCAGGGCUUCCCAUCCAGCCUGCAUGGAUGGCCAGGCUCACCCUCGCAGACCUUUCUCCCUCCGGCCUAAGGCAGGAGAGGAAGGUGGGGCAGGGGGCCGGAUCGGCUGGUGAGGGGCCAGAAAGAACUAGCGCACAUAGUGGUGGAGACGUGGCCGGCAGGGCGCGGGAGAGGGGAGACUGAGGUAGGAUGGCAGCGGAGGCGGUGAAACCUCCUUCCUUGGGCCCUCCUGCUGUCCAAAUGACAGUUCGGCCCAUUUUUUCCCCCCAUUUUGGGGCUCUCUGUGCAGCGCAUAAGGAAAGAGGUUUUGCCACCUCCGCUGCCAUCCUGGAUGGCAGGGGGCAGCUUAAGCCAGGGAGGGAGAGGCGGGGCAGGCAGCUGGAUCAGCCAGGGGGAGAGGUGAGAGACAGGGAGAACUAGCGUGCAGAUGUUCUGUGCCGGGCCAGCUAGUGGUUAUUUAAUCUCUUUACUGGUUGUGAGAUGCUGAUGUUAAUUUUUAUUUAUUUAUUUUGUGAUGUAUUUUAAUCUUUGUGAGUCACCUUGCAGUUUCAUAUGAUAAGAUGAUAUAUAAAUAAUAUUCUGUGUGUAUAUUUCUUCCCGA